ACGCUCGACACCUACGGGGGCAGCAGUAGGGAAUCUUCCACAAUGGACGCAAGUCUGAUGGAGCAACGCCGCGUGAGUGAAGAAGGUCUUCGGAUCGUAAAACUCUGUUGUUAGAGAAGAACACGAGUGAGAGUAACUGUUCAUUCGAUGACGGUAUCUAACCAGCAAGUCACGGCUAACUACGUGCCGGCAGCCGCGGUAAUCUGAGCGGGCUGGCAAGGC
Molecule: ribosomal RNA, 222 nt
Filed under: uncultured bacterium
Lineage: Bacteria
Description: partial 16S ribosomal RNA
Rfam family: Bacterial small subunit ribosomal RNA
Source: RNAcentral